CAUGGUUCUCAUUGAGCAAAGACGAUGUCACUAUGUAGCCAACCUGCUUUUCUGGGUAUUUUGGUGCAGAUAUUAAGGAAACAGCUUCCAUGUGACCAAAAUCCACAUCAUAACCCAGCAUAUAAAUGUAAAGCAUUUUCCAAACAUAUUUCUUCUUCUCGUAAGGAGUCAAACCCUUUUCAUUUUUGAAGCGAGUGCGGAUGUUGCCGAGCUCCUUAUCAACGCGAAGCCUCUCCUGCUCUUUAUUUGGGCAAUUGCGAACGUCGCUGAUAAACACAGAGAGACCUCUCAUGCUUGAAAGAGCCAUUUUCUCUCAGAUCCAGCAAGAGAGGCACGCCUACCUUCUCUUCCAGCUCCGAAUUACCAAAUCCUUUCACUUUCCGCAACCAGAAACACAGCGAUAAGAUAAUGAGAUCGAAGAGGAAGAUACAGAGAGAUCUUCGAUGGAGAUCUGAGUAUGAGUUGAAGCAGAAUCG
Molecule: unclassified non-coding RNA, 476 nt
Filed under: Hevea brasiliensis (rubber tree)
Lineage: Eukaryota; Viridiplantae; Streptophyta; Magnoliopsida; Malpighiales; Euphorbiaceae
Source: RNAcentral